GUGGGGAAUAUUGCGCAAUGGGGGAAACCCUGACGCAGCAACGCCGCGUGAGUGAUGAAGGCCCUCGGGUCGUAAAGCUCUGUCAGGUGGGAAGAAGAAGGAAAUCUCCAAUACAGGUUCCCUUUGACGGUACCACCAGAGGAAGCACCGGCUAACUCCGUGCCAGCAGCCGCGGUAAUACGGAGGGUGCAAGCGUUGUUCGGAAUCACUGGGCGUAAAGCGCGUGCAGGCGGCCUAUUAAGUCAGGUGUGAAAUCCCUCGGCUCAACCAAGGAAUUGCAUCUGAAACUGGUAGGCUUGAGUACGGGAGAGGAGAGUGGAAUUCCCGGUGUAGAGGUGAAAUUCGUAGAUAUCGGGAAGAACACCGGUGGCGAAGGCGGCUCUCUGGACCGAUACUGACGCUCAGACGCGAAAGCGUGGGGAGCAAACAGGAUUAGAUACCCCUGUAGUCC
This 451-nucleotide ribosomal RNA is filed under the name uncultured bacterium. RNAcentral's name for it is "bacterial SSU rRNA". It matches the Rfam family "Bacterial small subunit ribosomal RNA", at positions 354 to 796 of the family's 1533-position model. The record is from RNAcentral.